RNAcentral lists this long non-coding RNA (794 nucleotides) under Marmota monax (woodchuck). Lineage: Eukaryota; Metazoa; Chordata; Mammalia; Rodentia; Sciuridae. The record is from RNAcentral.
GUGGUCACCAGCCAAGCGGAAGUGCUUGUCGGGGCCAGUUCUUGUAAUGGUCUCUUCAGCAGCAAGCAGAAAAUCAGUUGACGAGAAAGACAGUGAGCUCAAUUUUCACAUAUCUCUGCCUUUUCCCAAGAACAGCAGGAAAUGGCCAAACCCCAGGGACUAGUGACAUUUGAGGAUGUGGCUGUGGAUUUCACCCAGGAGGAGUGGCAGUACCUGAACUCUCUGCAGAGGACCUUAUACCGAGAUGUGAUGCUAGAGACCUACAGCAACCUGGUCUCCGUGGGGCAACAGGUUUGCAAAGCAGACCUCAUCCUCAAGUUGGAGGUGGAAGAGCUAUGCCCAGCAGAAGACAGAAUUCCAAUUUGGAGCUUUCCAGAAGUCUGCCAAGUUGGUGAAAAGAUUGAGAGCCAGCAUCAGGAUGACCAAGAUCAAUGUCUCUUGAUGCAAGUUGGAUUCCCUGACAAGAAAAUAAUGACUACCAAGAAUGGCCACGAAUGUAAUGAAUUUGGAAACACUCUUCAUCUGAGUACAAGCCUUGGUAUUCCAAUACAAAGACCUCAUAAACUUGAAACAUUUGGAAAUGAUAUGGUAGAUAAUGUAGACUUAUUUAGAAGUGCUGUGGAAAAGAAACACGAUAAUGGGUGUGCAAAAUUAUUCUUCCAUACCGAGUUUGAGAAAUCAAAUCCUGUAGUGAAGCCCUAUGGAUAUAAAGGAUGCGGGAAAGUCCUCAGGCGAAAGAAGCCCUAUGGAUAUAAAGAAUGCGGGAAAGUCCUCAGGCGAAAGAAAGGUCUUAG